GACGAACGCUGGCGGCGUGCCUAAUACAUGCAAGUAGAACGCUGAAGGAGGAGCUUGCUUCUCUGGAUGAGUUGCGAACGGGUGAGUAACGCGUAGGUAACCUGCCUGGUAGCGGGGGAUAACUAUUGGAAACGAUAGCUAAUACCGCAUAACAGUAGAUAUCGCAUGAUAUCUACUUGAAAGGUGCAAUUGCAUCACUACCAGAUGGACCUGCGUUGUAUUAGCUAGUUGGUGAGGUAACGGCUCACCAAGGCGACGAUACAUAGCCGACCUGGGAGGGUGAUCGGCCACACUGGGACUGAGACACGGCCCAGACUCCUACGGGAGGCAGCAGUAGGGAAUCUUCGGCAAUGGACGGAAGUCUGACCGAGCAACGCCGCGUGAGUGAAGAAGGUUUUCGGAUCGUAAAGCUCUGUUGUAAGAGAAGAACGAGUGUGAGAGUGGAAAGUUCACACUGUGACGGUAUCUUACCAGAAAGGGACGGCUAACUACGUG
Molecule: ribosomal RNA, 495 nt
Filed under: uncultured bacterium
Lineage: Bacteria
Description: partial 16S ribosomal RNA
Rfam family: Bacterial small subunit ribosomal RNA
Source: RNAcentral